This is a long non-coding RNA of Uranotaenia lowii, 840 nucleotides long. RefSeq lists it as uncharacterized. Lineage: Eukaryota; Metazoa; Arthropoda; Insecta; Diptera; Culicidae. The transcript is spliced from 3 exons. The record is from RefSeq and is a predicted model, not a curated record.
AACGUCAACGCGUUGGCGCCGAAAAGGAAUUGUCAUUGUUAGAAAAUUGAUCAAAACUGCGACACGUUUUUUCUUGACCUGGCAGUUAGUUAGUUUUUAGUGAAUAGUUUUUAGAGAAAGCCGUAUGUAUUGAUUACUAUAGUUGUUCCGCUCAUCCUUUAAAGUAUUUUUUAUAGUAGGUGGAAGCUAUUUGGAAAGUUGCGCGUGAUUUGAGUGCUCGCGGGUUUGUGAGUCGGAAGAGGUUGGGUUAUAGAAAUUCCUUACUGCGCAAUUUGCCACUAAAAUAUUGUAUUUCCUUUAAUAGUUUGAGUGACCGUUCGGUUGUUCCGGUUAGGUGUACCGGGUUGAGCUCAAUUAGAGCGGUAGGAAAGAAAAAGCCUUCAAAUAGCCGGUGAUAUCCGACGGUUUAGGGUUGCCAGAGCUAGAGCUUAGGGUAAACGGCGAAACUUAUUUUCGAGUUCGUUCGCAUACAACGUACUACGGAACAGUUUUAUUUCCCACACCAGUAGUAUCCGACUCCUCACGCUGCGCGUUCGAACUUUAAAGAAAUAUUGUCCUUCACGCUGUCGCGUGUCGGACGGGACUAAGGGAUCACGCCUAGCUUUCACGCAGACCUAGGAAGCCCCGGCAGACCUAAACCAAUGUAAUAUGGCCGCCGCUUCCGACGGCGGGUCGGCGGCCACCUCGGAUUUAAGAGCUUCUGCGGCUUUGUGCCGCCUCAGCCCCUUCAUCCUCGUUGGUUGCGGCUUUGCCGCAAAAAAAUAAGGUUAUGAAACCUCAUUUUUAGUAACAAUUCCUUUUUUUUUUAAAUAAUUUCUAGUAAAGAUAAAUGUUUUCAAU